UUGCAUGCAUCGUGCAAAGGAAAACUGGAAGGAUGCCAGGAUGAUUAGCACCUCCCCUGCACCAGGAUGACAUGAAUUCGUGAAGCUUUUCAUAUUUUU
RNAcentral lists this small nuclear RNA (99 nucleotides) under Microcebus murinus (gray mouse lemur). The record is from RNAcentral. Lineage: Eukaryota; Metazoa; Chordata; Mammalia; Primates; Cheirogaleidae.